AGAGUUUGAUCCUGGCUCAGGACGAACGCUGGCGGCGUGCCUAACACAUGUAAGUCGAGCGGAGAAAAUUGAAGGAUUUAUCUUGAUAUUUUCUUAGCGGCGGACGGGUGAGUAACGCGUAGACAACCUACCUUCUAGAUGGGGACAAUACUGCGAAAGUGGUGCUAAUACCGAAUGUUGUAUUAAGGGUGCAUAUCCUAAAUACUAAAGGUGGCCUCUAUUUAUAAGCUAUCACUAGAAGAUGGGUCUGCGUCUGAUUAGCUAGUUGGUGAGGUAACGGCUCACCAAGGCGACGAUCAGUAGCCGGUCUGAGAGGAUGAACGGCCACACUGGGACUGAGACACGGCCCAGACUCCUACGGGAGGCAGCAGUGGGGAAUCUUCCGCAAUGGACGAAAGUCUGACGGAGCAACGCCGCGUGAGUGAAGAAGGUUUUCGGAUCGUAAAACUCUGUUUUCAGGGACGAAUGUGCCGAUUGUAAAUAAUGGUUGGUAAUGACGGUACCUGACAAGAAAGCCACGGCUAACUACGUGCCAGCAGCCGCGGUAAUACGUAGGUGGCAAGCGUUGUCCGGAAUUAUUGGGCGUAAAGCGCGCGCAGGUGGGAUAAUAAGUCUGAUGUUAAAGUUCGGGGCUCAACCCCGUGAAGCAUUUGGAUACUGUUAUUCUUGAGUGCAGGAGAGGAAAGUGGAAUUCCUAGUGUAGCGGUGAAAUGCGUAGAUAUUAGGAGGAACACCAGUGGCGAAGGCGACUUUCUGGACUGUGUCUGACACUGAGGCGCGAAAGCCAGGGUAGUGAACGG
RNAcentral lists this ribosomal RNA (800 nucleotides) under uncultured bacterium. RNAcentral describes it as "bacterial SSU rRNA". It matches the Rfam family "Bacterial small subunit ribosomal RNA", at positions 8 to 775 of the family's 1533-position model. The record is from RNAcentral.